AAAAGCUCGUAGUUGGAUCUCAGCUCCGGCCGGACGGUCCGCCUACCGGUGGUUACUGUUCGUCGCCGAGCGUUCAGGCGGUUAUUCUUGAUGAUCUUCACCGGUUGUCUCGGGUGACCGCCAAGUUUACUUUGAAAAAAUUAGAGUGCUCAAAGCAGGCGCGACGCCUGAAUAAUUGUGCAUGGAAUAAUGGAAUAGGACCUCGGUUCUAUUUUGUUGGUUUUCGGAACACGAGGUAAUGAUUAAGAGGGACAGACGGGGGCAUUCGUAUUGCGACGCUAGAGGUGAAAUUCUUGGACCGUCGCAAGACGAACUACUGCGAAAGCAUUUGCCAAGAAUGUUUCCAUUAAUCAAGAACGAAAGUUAGAGGUUCGAAGGCGAUCAGAUACCGCCCUAGUUCUAACCAUAAACGAUGUCAGCCAGCAAUCCGCCUGUGUUCCUCAAAUGACACGGCGGGCGGCUUCCGGGAAACCAAAGCUUUUGGGUUCCGGGGGAAGUAUGGUUGCAAAGCUGAAACUUAAAGGAAUUGACGGAAGGGCACCACCAGAAAUGGAGCCUGCGGCUUAAUUUGACUCAACACGGGAAAACUUACCCGGCCCGGACACAGGAAGGAUUGACAGAUUAAGAGCUCUUUCUUGAUUCUGUGGGUGGUGGUGCAUGGCCGUUCUUAGUUGGUGGGGCGACUUGUCUGGUUAAUUCCGAUAACGAACGAGACUCUAGCCUACUAAAUAGACGUUCCGAUCCUCUUUUGUCGGACGUUCUUCUUAGAGGGACAAGCGGCGUUUAGCCGCACGAGACAGAGCAAUAACAGGUCUGGGAUGCCCUUAGAUGUCCGGGGCCGCACGCGCGCUACAUUGAAGGAAUCAGCGUGUGCUUUCCCUGUCCGACAGGACUGGGUAACCCGUUGAACCUCCUUCGUGCUGGGGAUUGGAGAUUGUAAUUGUCCUCCAUGAACGAGGAAUUCCCAGUAAGCACGAGUCAUCAGCUCGUGUUGAUUACGUCCCUGCCCUUUGUCCACACCGCCCGUCGCUACUACCGAUUGAAUGAUUUAGUGAGGUCUUCGGACUGGCGCUCGGAUUGGCCUUCGCGGUCGAGCCGGUGUGCCGGAAAGAUGACCAAACUUGAUCAUUUAGAGGAAGUAAAAGUCGUAACAAGGUUUU
Molecule: ribosomal RNA, 1160 nt
Filed under: Plebs cyphoxis
Lineage: Eukaryota; Metazoa; Arthropoda; Arachnida; Araneae; Araneidae
Description: SSU rRNA
Rfam family: Eukaryotic small subunit ribosomal RNA
Source: RNAcentral